This 850-nucleotide ribosomal RNA is filed under the name uncultured Fusobacterium sp. RNAcentral describes it as "bacterial SSU rRNA". It matches the Rfam family "Bacterial small subunit ribosomal RNA". Lineage: Bacteria; Fusobacteriati; Fusobacteriota; Fusobacteriia; Fusobacteriales; Fusobacteriaceae. The record is from RNAcentral.
GAUGAACGCUGACAGAAUGCUUAACACAUGCAAGUCAACUUGAACUUCGGUUUGGGUGGCGGACGGGUGAGUAACGCGUAAAGAACUUGCCUCACAGGUAGCGACUGGAUUUGGAAACGAAUGCUAAUACCUGAUAUUAUGAUUUUACAGGCAUCAUAGAAUUAUGAAAGCUAUAUGCGCUGAGAGAGAGCUUUGCGUCCCAUUAGCUAGUUGGAGAGGUAACGGCUCACCAAGGCGAUGAUGGGUAGCCGGCCUGAGAGGGUGAUCGGCCACAAGGGGACUGAGACACGGCCCUUACUCCUACGGGAGGCAGCAGUGGGGAAUAUUGGACAAUGGACCAAGAGUCUGAUCCAGCAAUUCUGUGUGCACGAUGAAGUUUUUCGGAAUGUAAAGUGCUUUCAGUUGGGAAGAAAAAAAUGACGGUACCAACAGAAGAAGUGACGGCUAAAUACGUGCCAGCAGCCGCGGUAAUACGUAUGUCACAAGCGUUAUCCGGAUUUAUUGGGCGUAAAGCGCGUCUAGGUGGUUAUAUAAGUCUGAUGUGAAAAUGCAGGGCUCAACUCUGUAUUGCGUUGGAAACUGUGUAACUAGAGUACUGGAGAGGUAAGCGGAACUACAAGUGUAGGAGGUGAAAUUCGUAGAUAUUUGUAGGAAUGCCGAUGGGGAAGCCAGCUUUACUGGACAGAUACUGACGCUGAAGCGCGAAGCGUGGGUAGCAAACAGGAUAAGAUUACCCUGGGUAGUCGAGGGCGAAUUCCACAGGGGAUAUCAAGCCUUAUCGCUAUCGGUCGACCCUCGAGGGGGCGGCCCGGUACUCAGCUUUUGUUCUCUUUAGAUGAAGAAUAAUUGC